RNAcentral lists this ribosomal RNA (467 nucleotides) under uncultured bacterium. Its description in RNAcentral is "partial 16S ribosomal RNA". It matches the Rfam family "Bacterial small subunit ribosomal RNA", at positions 29 to 507 of the family's 1533-position model. The record is from RNAcentral.
ACGAACGCUGGCGGCGUGCUUCACACAUGCAAGUCGAACGGAAAGGCCCUGCUUUUGUGGGGUGCUCGAGUGGCGAACGGGUGAGUAACACGUGAGUAACCUGCCCUUGACUUUGGGAUAACUUCAGGAAACUGGGGCUAAUACCGGAUAGGAGCUCCUGCUGCAUGGUGGGGGUUGGAAAGUUUCGGCUGUUGGGGAUGGACUCGCGGCUUAUCAGCUUGUUGGUGGGGUAGUGGCUUACCAAGGCUUUGACGGGUAGCCGGCCUGAGAGGGUGACCGGCCACAUUGGGACUGAGAUACGGCCCAGACUCCUACGGGAGGCAGCAGUGGGGAAUAUUGCACAAUGGGCGGAAGCCUGAUGCAGCAACGCCGCGUGCGGGAUGACGGCCUUCGGGUUGUAAACCGCUUUCGCCUGUGACGAAGCGUGAGUGACGGUAAUGGGUAAAGAAGCACCGGCUAACUACGUG